AUGUUCACCCUUCUCCUUAUAAAUAGGGUCAGACCGCCUCCUUUCAUUUCCCCCCUUCUCCUUCUCGUCUUCCUCCUCCUCUUACGACUCAUCUGCCACUUCAAGCUCCGCCGCCGCCGCGAAGCUCACCGUCCUCCUCACCCUUGGUCGAUGCAUCAACCUAAACGGGACCAGAGAACGCCGACGCUCCAUCGCAGUUCAUGUCCAUCUGCUUCCUCCUUUACGAUGCUUCCUAAGACAACCACUUCAUGCAACUGGGUUCCCUCCAUUGUCACUGAGGACACGCUCAAGGACUUUGUGAAAACCGGCUAUUUACCAGAGAAGAAUGUCAUGCAUUAUCGCGGCCCUGAUCUGGAAGAAGAAAAACCUCAGCCAAAGGACGAUGAACUCAUCGUUUUUACUGAUCACAUGAAUCGGGGCUUCUCACCGCCCGGUUCUAAAUUUUUCCGAGAUGUUCUGCACUUUUUCGAGCUUCAUCCUCAAGACAUCAGACCCAAUUCCGUGUCAAACAUAUGCAAUUUUCAAAGUUUCUGCAAGGUGUACCUUCAAGAGGAGCCAAGUGUGGAACUAUUUAGGCAAUACUUUUAUUUGAACCGCCAAAAUGAGUAUUCGAACGGACCCAGCUUGGAACUUGGCGGGAUAUCAAUUCAGCGAAGGAGAGGUGCUAUCUUCCCCUACACUUGCCUGCCGAGUCAUCCAAAAGAUUGGAACCAGACAUGA
RNAcentral lists this ribosomal RNA (720 nucleotides) under Triticum aestivum (bread wheat). RNAcentral's name for it is "partial small subunit ribosomal RNA". Lineage: Eukaryota; Viridiplantae; Streptophyta; Magnoliopsida; Poales; Poaceae. The record is from RNAcentral.